GCAUGUGCGCCAUGCCACCCUAAACACGCCUGAUCCUGAAAGGUUAGAAGGGUCAAGCCUGGUUUGUACUUGGAUUAGAGACUGCUGGGGAGUACCAGGUGCUGUGUGGU
RNAcentral lists this ribosomal RNA (110 nucleotides) under Labrus bergylta (ballan wrasse). Lineage: Eukaryota; Metazoa; Chordata; Actinopteri; Labriformes; Labridae. The record is from RNAcentral.